This 253-nucleotide ribosomal RNA is filed under the name uncultured prokaryote. Its description in RNAcentral is "partial 16S ribosomal RNA". It matches the Rfam family "Bacterial small subunit ribosomal RNA", at positions 525 to 777 of the family's 1533-position model. The record is from RNAcentral.
ACAGAGGGUGCGAGCGUUGUUCGGAAUUAUUGGGCGUAAAGGGCGCGUAGGCGGUGCGGUAAGUCACCUGUGAAAUCUCCUGGCUCAACUGGGAGCUUGCAGGCGAAACUGCCGUGCUGGAGUGUGGGAGAGGUGCGUGGAAUUCCUGGUGUAGCGGUGAAAUGCGCAGAUAUCGGGAGGAACACCAAUGGCGAAGGCAGCUUGCUGGGACGGUACUGACGCUGAGGCGCGAAAGCGUGGGGAGCAAACAGGA